Armigeres subalbatus is the source of this 780-nucleotide long non-coding RNA. RefSeq lists it as uncharacterized. The transcript has 3 exons. NCBI's taxonomy places the organism in Eukaryota, Metazoa, Arthropoda, Insecta, Diptera, Culicidae. The record is from RefSeq and is a predicted model, not a curated record.
AUUACCCGCCGGUCCAAGUGGUUCCAGUCUGUCAAACCCAUCGAGACCGGAGACAUUGUAGUGAUUGUUGACCCGAAGUUACCGCGUAACUGUUGGCCGAAAGGUAGAGUCAUCGCUACGACUACUAGCCGAGACGGGCAAACGCGAUCAGCGACAGUGCAGACAUCCGUCGGAGUAUACGAGCGCCCCGUUGUGAAGCUGGCGGUCCUAGACGUUCAGCGCGUGGAGCAGUAAGCCAACCGGAAGUCGUCGUACCCUGGGGGACUGUUGGCCUACCCCAUUAGGCCAGCGCGCACACCUAUGACUGUGGGUCCUAUAUUGCUUGCAAUCCUGCAAGCAAGACGCGGCCAUGACGGAACGGAUGACAGGGAGUGACAGGCCUUCGGCCUGUCACCGGGUGAGUGGACAAAACAGAACAAACAAAAGGAAAAAUCUUUGAUAUAGCUGACGAACGAAAACGCAGUACUAAUUAUAUCCUAAAAAGCCUUAAAAAUAGUGUAAAAUUAUCUAAAAUUAAACUUAAGUCUAGUGAACUGGAAUAUUAAAUUAGUGCCUACUAUCUACAUGCUGGAUUGGUAACCUAAAUCUCGUCACGUCUCUCUUGAACUAUUACCAGAAUACGGACUGCCACUAUUUUUUGCUCUACUGAUACGAACACAAUACAAACGGGAACUAAACGAAAAUUAUAUUCUCCCUCAAACAACGGAUCAAGUGUUUGUCAUUUCCGCGUCGGAGAAUCAUAAUUACGGAAAUAUUCCCCCCGUUGGAUAUAAUCCAACA